MicroRNA precursor from Bison bison bison, 61 nucleotides. Lineage: Eukaryota; Metazoa; Chordata; Mammalia; Artiodactyla; Bovidae. The record is from Ensembl.
UAAAAAGUUUGUUUGGGUUUUUCCAUAACAGCUAUAGAAAAACCUGAACAAACUUUUUGGA